CCUUCGGGUUGUAAAGCUCUUUCGACUGGAACGAUAAUGACGGUACCCGAGGAAGAAGCGGCGGCUAACUACGUGCCAGCAGCCGCGGUAAUACGGAGGGGGCAAGCGUUGUUCGGAAUUACUGGGCGUAAAGAGUGUGUAGGCGGUGCUCUAAGUCUGUUGUGAAAUCCCUCGGCUCAACUGGGGGGGUGCCGCCGAUACUGGAAGGCUUGAGUAUGGGAGAGGGUGACGGAAUUCCUGGUGUAGCGGUGAAAUGCGUAUAUAUCUGGAGGAACACCUGUGGUGUAGGCGACUUACUGGACCUGUACUGACGCUGAGGCACGAAAGCGUGGGUAGCAAACAGGAUUAGAUACCCUGGUAGUCCACGCCCUAAACGAUGCAUACUUGGUGUGAG
RNAcentral lists this ribosomal RNA (394 nucleotides) under uncultured bacterium. RNAcentral describes it as "bacterial SSU rRNA". It matches the Rfam family "Bacterial small subunit ribosomal RNA", at positions 415 to 826 of the family's 1533-position model. The record is from RNAcentral.